RNAcentral lists this non-coding RNA (24 nucleotides) under Cricetulus griseus (Chinese hamster). The record is from RNAcentral. Lineage: Eukaryota; Metazoa; Chordata; Mammalia; Rodentia; Cricetidae.
CGGGAGGAGAAUGGUCUGAAGUAA